Oncorhynchus mykiss (rainbow trout) is the source of this 616-nucleotide non-coding RNA. NCBI's taxonomy places the organism in Eukaryota, Metazoa, Chordata, Actinopteri, Salmoniformes, Salmonidae. The record is from RefSeq and is a predicted model, not a curated record.
GGCUGUUGUCUGUGCAGAGGGUCCCUGGUUCGAGCCCAGGUAGGGGCAAGGAAAGGGGCGGAAGCAAAACUGUUACACGGGCACCAUUUGAAUCCGGAGAAUAAUCUCCUCUUUGUAAUUAUGAAGUCAAAGCGGGCACUCGAAAAUGGUCGAAACUGUAGAUAUUGCCAGAUGUUCACUGUCCGAGGAACAGGCCGUGGAAGCUUUAUUGCUGGCAAAAGUAUCCAUAACCAGAGGUUAUAUGAGCUGUUUUGGUGAACCCCUUUUGCAUCUGAACAGGCUGGCAGAGGGCACAUCAUGAUCAUAGGUAUGUUUUGAUGUGAGAGAGGAAGCCAGUCCCGUCAUCGCCACCUCACCUGCUCUUAAGAUAACCUUCGGGCCAACAGGGGUCCCACGGUUGGUUAGGAGACACCACAAUUUUGAUGAACUGAGAGAAUAUUAGGGUAGCACUGUAAUUCAUGAAUCCUAUGCUGUCUGCUGCUGUUCUUACCUUUCCCUUUCUGUCUUCUACACCUCUCUCCCCACCUUGACGGUCUUCCUCAUUUUAUAAUGCACACCAUAUGUGCAUUGAAGUACAGAUUGAACUUGUAUUUAUAAUAUUACAAUUAUCAUAAUA